UACGUAGGGUGCAAGCGUUGUCCGGAAUUAUUGGGCGUAAAGAGCUCGUAGGCGGUCUGUCGCGUCUGCUGUGAAAACUCAGGGCUUAACCCUGAGCUUGCAGUGGUACGGGCAGACUAGAGUGCGGUAGGGGAGACUGGAAUUCCUGGUGUAGCGGUGAAAUGCGCAGAUAUCAGGAGGAACACCGGUGGCGAAGGCGGGUCUCUGGGCCGUAACUGACGCUGGAGGAAGCGAAAGCAUGGGGAGCGAACAGG
This 254-nucleotide ribosomal RNA is filed under the name uncultured bacterium. RNAcentral's name for it is "partial 16S ribosomal RNA". It matches the Rfam family "Bacterial small subunit ribosomal RNA", at positions 524 to 776 of the family's 1533-position model. The record is from RNAcentral.